UUCUCGACCUUCACGCCCUCCUAUCAAGGGUCAUGUCCUUACUAUUUAGGAUAGAAGUUAGUGGGACAAGACAGAUGCACGACUACCUACUAAUUUUCUAUCCUAAUUCUCGAACUCCACGCCCUUCUAUCAAGGGUCAUGUCCUCGGUAAGCUGAAGCAACGCAAUAUCCUGUCAAUUGUGUGAUCAUUUUAUUUAAAACUUAAGCUAUUAGAGGAGGAACCUAAAUUCAUCCUAAUUUAUUUAUGUAUGCAGCACUGAGAAUUAAUAUGGUUACAAAUUAAUUUACUCCUUUAUUGGUUAACCUAUAACUAAUACAUUACUCUACAUAACCUAAUUUGAUGCAGCAAUGAAUUCAAACAACAUUACUAAUCAGAAGACGGGUGCCGGAAUCAUCCGCAAAGUCGCCGGCAAAGCUUGUAAAAUUUGCUCAUGUAAAUACCAGAUUUGCAGCAAAUGUCCUAAAUGUCAUGACUAAAGUUAGGCCUUGAGACUAUGUACUUGUGCUGGUGUGAGUUUAGUUUUGAGAGUAAAGGGAAAGUUAUGAAUAGCCUAAUAUAAUUCUAUUAGUACCACUUGUCUUGUAGUCUUUCAACUGUAUGGUAUUGUACUGUAUUUUUCUUUAGCCACUUGAUAUCAAAUCCGAUUAAAUCUAAUUUGCGUUGCAUAUGCUC
This is a non-coding RNA of Nicotiana tabacum (common tobacco), 673 nucleotides long. The record is from RefSeq and is a predicted model, not a curated record. NCBI's taxonomy places the organism in Eukaryota, Viridiplantae, Streptophyta, Magnoliopsida, Solanales, Solanaceae.